Molecule: signal recognition particle RNA, 265 nt
Filed under: Bacillota bacterium
Lineage: Bacteria; Bacillati; Bacillota
Also listed under: 1 other name
Description: signal recognition particle sRNA large type
Rfam family: Bacterial large signal recognition particle RNA
About the family: The signal recognition particle (SRP) is a universally conserved ribonucleoprotein involved in the co-translational targeting of proteins to membranes. Archaeal SRP consists of a 7S RNA and homologues of the eukaryotic SRP19 and SRP54 proteins. In most bacteria, the SRP consists of a 4.5S RNA and the Ffh protein (a homologue of the eukaryotic SRP54 protein).
Source: RNAcentral
CCGUGCUAGACGGGGAGGUAGCGGUGCCCUGUACCCGCAAUCCGCUAUAGCGGGGUUUAAUUCCUGCCCCCGGCCGCGCAUUUUUAGGGUCUGCGCCAUGUAAGUGGUGUCGAAGGCCCGGUCCCGUGCGGCGCAAGCUCAUGAACCCCGUCAGGUCCGGAAGGAAGCAGCGGUAAAUGAGUUCUUGUGGGUGCCACGGGGUUACCGGGCUGGAGCUAACUGCCUGGUAUGCGCCUGGGGGUGCCGGUCAAAGGCAGGUGCGCGG